Non-coding RNA from Gossypium arboreum, 107 nucleotides. The record is from Rfam. Lineage: Eukaryota; Viridiplantae; Streptophyta; Magnoliopsida; Malvales; Malvaceae.
AACUCAUGGUGAGGGCACCUUCUCAAUAGGUCCUUGUAUUUCUCCCAUGCAUCAUAAAGUGUUUCUAAAUCCAUCUGCACAAAAGAAGAAAUAUCAUUUCUUAAUUU